GCUGUGCUACCGUCCGACUCCCGGUAGUUAAGCUUCUAAGACUCCAGACACAUCCAAAUGAGGCGCUGCAUGUGGCAGUCUGCCUUUCUUU
RNAcentral lists this small nuclear RNA (91 nucleotides) under Erinaceus europaeus (western European hedgehog). Its description in RNAcentral is "7SK RNA". It matches the Rfam family "7SK RNA", at positions 201 to 331 of the family's 331-position model. Rfam says of the family: 7SK was discovered as an abundant small nuclear RNA in the mid-70s but a possible function has only recently been suggested. Lineage: Eukaryota; Metazoa; Chordata; Mammalia; Eulipotyphla; Erinaceidae. The record is from Rfam by way of RNAcentral.